CAUGCAAGUCGAGGGGCAUCGCGUUGUAGCAAUACAAUGGCGGCGAACGGCGAAAGGGUGAGUAACGCGUGAGCAACAUGCCCGGUAGAGGAGGAUAGUCGAUGGAAACGUCGUGUAAUACUCCGUAGCAACAGACCCCGCAUGAGGUUUGUUUAAUAGAUUAAUCGCUAUCGGAUUGGCUCGCGUCCCAUUAGGCAGUUGGCGGGGUAACGGCCCACCAAACCGACGAUGGGUAGGGGUUCUGAGAGGAAGGUCCCCCACAUUGGAACUGAGACACGGUCCAGACUCCUACGGGAGGCAGCAGUGAGGAAUAUUGGUCAAUGGCCGAGAGGCUGAACCAUCCAUGCCGCGUGCGGGAGGACGGCCCUAUGGGUUGUAAACCGCUUUUGUUGGGGGGCAAUAAGGCGUACGUGUACGCCGAUGAGAGUACCCAGCGAAUAAGCA
Molecule: ribosomal RNA, 444 nt
Filed under: uncultured rumen bacterium
Lineage: Bacteria
Description: bacterial SSU rRNA
Rfam family: Bacterial small subunit ribosomal RNA
Source: RNAcentral